This 214-nucleotide ribosomal RNA is filed under the name uncultured bacterium. RNAcentral's name for it is "partial 16S ribosomal RNA". It matches the Rfam family "Bacterial small subunit ribosomal RNA", at positions 126 to 334 of the family's 1533-position model. The record is from RNAcentral.
CGCCUCGGUAGCGGGGGAGUAACUAUUGGAAACGAUAGCUAAUACCGCAUAAUAUUGAUUAUUGCAUGAUAAUUGAUUGAAAGAUGCAACUGCAUCACUACCAGAUGGACCUGCGUUGUAUUAGCUAGUAGGUGAGGUAACGGCUCACCUAGGCGACGAUACAUAGCCGACCUGAGAGGGUGAUCGGCCACACUGGGACUGAGACACGGCCCAG